This is a long non-coding RNA of Protopterus annectens (West African lungfish), 2001 nucleotides long. RefSeq lists it as uncharacterized. The transcript is spliced from 3 exons. Lineage: Eukaryota; Metazoa; Chordata; Ceratodontiformes; Protopteridae. The record is from RefSeq and is a predicted model, not a curated record.
UUACAUUUCUCAGAAAAAACAAACAAUUACAAGAGAGGCAUAUACUGUAUUUACUUCACAAUGUGUAAGUCUGUACAGUUCUGUUAGAUCUAAAUUCUUGUAAGAAGUGGAUUUAUACUGUAGAAGGGAAACAUUGUACCAAAGAUGUUUAGUGUUCUGACAUUUUACUACAGAAAGGUUUGUAAGGAGUUAAAGAGAUACAAUAAGUAAUAUAUUACAGAAGUUAUAACAUUUUCUAGAAGGGGAGAUAUUGGCAUUGUAUUAGCCUUUGAGUAAGAACACAAGGCAUAUGACAAGAAGAAAAAAAUUAGGGAUAGGUAAUAAGAAGUUUGCACUUUCACUAGAGGUCUCAACCUGAACAUGAACAUGACCAGGACUGGGUAAAGAAUUAACUGCUAGGUGUAGCUGUUUCACUGAUUAACUUUGUCCUUGUUUUUGCAACUAUUACAUAAAGGUACUAGUAUGGGUAAGGUAUUAACUGCUAGGUGUAGCUGUUUCACUGAUUAACUUUGUCCUUGUUUUUGUAACUAUUACAUAAAGGUACUAUUAUGGGUAAGGUAUUAACUGCUAGGUGUAGCUGUUUCACGGAUUAACUUUGUCCUUGUUUUUGUAACUAUUACAUAAAGGUACUAUUAUGGGUAAGGUAUUAACUGCUAGAUGUAGCUGUUUCAAUGAUUAACUUUGUCCUUGUUUUUGUAACUAUUACAUAAAGGUACUAUUAUGGAUAAGGUAUUAACUGCUAGGUGUAGCUGUUUCAUGGAUUAACUUUGUCCUUGUUUUUGUAACUAUUACAUAAAGGUACUAUUAUGGGUAAGGUAUUAACUGCUAGGUGUAGCUGUUUCAUGGAUUAAAACUUUGUCCUUGUUUUUGUAACUAUUAUAUAAAGGUACUAUUAUGGGUAAGGUAUUAACUGCUAGGUGUAACUGUUUCACUAAUUAACUUUGUCCUUGUUUUUGUAACUAUUAUAUAAAGGUACUAUUAUAGGUAAGGUAUUAACUGCCAGGUGUAGCUGUUUCAUGGAUUAACUCUGUCCUUGUUUUUAUAACUACUAUUUAAAGAUACUAUUAUGGUAAGGUAUUAACUGCUAGGUGUAGCUGUUUCACUGAUUAACUUUGUCCUUGUUUUUGUAACUAUUACAUAAAGGUACUAUUAUGGGUAAGGUAUUAACUGCUAGGUGUAGCUGUUUCAUUGAUUAACCUUGUCCUUGUUUUUGUAACUAUUAUAUAAAGGUACUAUUAUGGGUAAGGUAUUAACUGCUAGGUGUAGCUGUUUCACCGAUUAACUUUGUCCUUGUUUUUAUAACUACUAUUUAAAGGUACUAAUAUGGGUAAGGUAUUAACUGCUAGGUGUAGCUGUUUCACUGAUUAACUUUGUCUUUGUUUUUGUAACUAUUAUAUAAAGGUACUAUUAUGGGUAAGGUAUUAACUGCUAGGUGUAGUUGUUUCAUUGAUUAACUUUGUCCUUGUUUUUGUAACUAUUAUAUAAAGGUACUAUUAUGGGUAAUGUAUUAACUGAUAGGUGUAGCUGUUUCAUUGAUUAACUUUGUCCUUGUUUUUGUAACUAUUAUAUAAAGGUACUAUUAUGGGUAAGGUAUUAACUGCUAGGUGUAGCUGUUUCACUGAUUAACUUUGUCCUUGUUUUUGUAACUAUUAUAUAAAGGUACUAUUAUGGGUAAGGUAUUAACUGCUAGGUGUAGCUGUUUCAUGGAUUAACUUUGUCCUUGUUUUUGUAACUAUUACAUAAAGGUACUAUUAUGGGUAAGGUAUUAACUGCUAGGUGUAGCUGUUUCAUUGAUUAACUUUGUCCUUGUUUUUGUAACUAUUAUAUAAAGGUACUAUUAUGGGUAAGGUAUUAACUGCUAGGUGUAGCUGUUUCAUGGAUUAACUUUGUCCUUGUUUUUGUAACUAUUAUAUAAAGGUACUAUUAUGGGUAAGGUAUUAACUGCUAGGUGUAGCUGUUUCACUGAUUAACUUUGUCCUUGUUUUUGUAACUAUUAUAUAA